Mesocricetus auratus (golden hamster) is the source of this 867-nucleotide long non-coding RNA. RefSeq lists it as uncharacterized. Lineage: Eukaryota; Metazoa; Chordata; Mammalia; Rodentia; Cricetidae. The record is from RefSeq and is a predicted model, not a curated record. The transcript has 2 exons.
AUUCUCCAGGGCCUCUAAGGGUUAAGAUGAAAGACACUCGGCGAUUCGUCCAUUUUCCUAGAGAGGUCGGGACAAAGAUGGCCCUGAGUCUUCCUCGAUGUGUGAUCUGCUUGGCUCACUGGGUCUUAAGGUUUGGAAAUCGGUUGAAAAGAAAGGAGUUGAUGAAGGAAGUCUUGGGACCAUCGGUGCUCGGGAAUCGAAGCUCUGCUCUGCCCCUGCUUCAGUUUGCUGGGAUAGAUGGUGUGAAAAACGGUGUCCAAUCAGCGUGUCUCAGGCCUGCUCUACCACUUUCUGGUUGUGUGACCUUAGGAAAUCCCUGAACACUUUGGACACACCUGUAAAAACAUUCGUAAGAUGGCAUAGAUAAACAACGAAACUGGUUCAUACACCCCAGGCUGAUAAGAGAAUUAGGAGCAGUGAUUUAUUUUAUUCCCUGGUUUGUGCAAGCAGCAGAUCAGCAAGAAUUAACAUUGUAUAAGAAUGCCUUUGUCUAGGCUUCUGUUUCCUCCCAGAUGUCCCUGCUGUUCCUUGUAAACUGAAACAGAUGCUGUGUCCACGUGACACUGACAGGUCACAUGGCCUAAUCCUUUAAGUAGAUUAGGAGUCGUAGGUAGCUCCAGCAGAUAGUUUAGGCUGGCAUGUCUAUUGUACAACCUAGGAGCAAUAAGAUGGAGGGAGGAAUGCCCUCUUUGGAGUCUUUUGUAUUCAGGAAUUAUUGGAUGUAAUUACUCUAGCCCUGCUUUUGACUAUUCUCUUGUUAUGGGUUAUGUAAGUGUUCUUUUUGAAAUUGACUCUAAAGGGUGUUUUUUUUGUGUUUUUGUUUUGUUUUGUUUUUGCCAACAACCAAUGUUAUCUUCUGACCAUAAA